RNAcentral lists this ribosomal RNA (320 nucleotides) under uncultured bacterium. RNAcentral's name for it is "bacterial SSU rRNA". It matches the Rfam family "Bacterial small subunit ribosomal RNA", at positions 470 to 789 of the family's 1533-position model. The record is from RNAcentral.
UGACGGUACCUGACUAAGAAGCACCGGCUAAAUACGUGCCAGCAGCCGCGGUAAUACGUAUGGUGCAAGCGUUAUCCGGAUUUACUGGGUGUAAAGGGAGCGCAGGCGGUCCUGCAAGCCAGAGGUGAAAACCCGGGGCUCAACCCCGUGAUUGCCUUUGGAACUGUGGGACUUGAGUACUGGAGGGGCAGGCGGAAUUCCUGGUGUAGCGGUGAAAUGCGUAGAUAUCAGGAGGAACACCGGUGGCGAAGGCGGCCUGCUGGACAGAAACUGACGCUGAGGCUCGAAAGCGUGGGGAGCAAACAGGAUUAGAUACCCUG